This 406-nucleotide ribosomal RNA is filed under the name Metamycoplasma salivarium. Its description in RNAcentral is "bacterial SSU rRNA". It matches the Rfam family "Bacterial small subunit ribosomal RNA", at positions 431 to 830 of the family's 1533-position model. The record is from RNAcentral. Lineage: Bacteria; Bacillati; Mycoplasmatota; Mycoplasmoidales; Metamycoplasmataceae.
UGCUGUUGCUAGGGAAGAAAAAGUAGUUGAGGAAAUGCUUCUACAUUGACGGUACCUUGUUAGAAAGCGAUGGCUAACUAUGUGCCAGCAGCCGCGGUAAUACAUAGGUCGCAAGCGUUAUCCGGAAUUAUUGGGCGUAAAGCGUUCGUAGGCUGUUUAUUAAGUCUGGAGUCAAAUCCCAGGGCUCAACCCUGGCUCGCUUUGGAUACUGGUAAACUAGAGUUGGAUAGAGGUAAGCGGAAUUCCAUGUGAAGCGGUGAAAUGCGUAGAUAUAUGGAAGAACACCAAAGGCGAAGGCAGCUUACUGGGUUUAUACUGACGCUGAGGAACGAAAGCGUGGGGAGCAAACAGGAUUAGAUACCCUGGUAGUCCACGCCGUAAACGAUGAUCAUUAGUCGGCAGAGAA